Molecule: transfer RNA, 82 nt
Filed under: Pelagerythrobacter marensis
Lineage: Bacteria; Pseudomonadati; Pseudomonadota; Alphaproteobacteria; Sphingomonadales; Erythrobacteraceae
Description: Altererythrobacter marensis tRNA-Ser
Rfam family: tRNA
About the family: Transfer RNA (tRNA) molecules are approximately 80 nucleotides in length. Their secondary structure includes four short double-helical elements and three loops (D, anti-codon, and T loops).
Source: RNAcentral
GGACAGGUGGCCGAGUGGUUUAAGGCAGCGGUCUUGAAAACCGCCGUGGGCGCAAGCUGUUCGAAUCCCACCCUGUCCGCCA